Molecule: unclassified non-coding RNA, 187 nt
Filed under: uncultured Amphinema
Lineage: Eukaryota; Fungi; Basidiomycota; Agaricomycetes; Atheliales; Atheliaceae
Description: sequence contains ITS2
Source: RNAcentral
AAAUCAUCAACCUCCGUUGAUCUCUGAUCGGUCGGAGGCUUGGACUUUGGAGCGUGCUGGCCUGAGGUCGGCUCCUCUUUAAAUGCAUCAGCGGAAGUCCAUUGACGUCUCCUGUCGGCGUGAUAAUCCUGUUACACCGCCAGGGUCUUGUUGGGGCUCGCUUAUAAUCGUCUUUGGACAACAUCCU